Molecule: ribosomal RNA, 507 nt
Filed under: uncultured Simplicispira sp.
Lineage: Bacteria; Pseudomonadati; Pseudomonadota; Betaproteobacteria; Burkholderiales; Comamonadaceae
Description: bacterial SSU rRNA
Rfam family: Bacterial small subunit ribosomal RNA
Source: RNAcentral
GCGCCUUGCCAGCCCGCUCAGAAACUACAAAGGAAUUGACGGGGACCCGCACAAGCGGUGGAUGAUGUGGUUUAAUUCGAUGCAACGCGAAAAACCUUACCCACCUUUGACAUGUACGGAAGAUCGCAGAGACGCGAUUGUGCUCGAAAGAGAACCGUAACACAGGUGCUGCAUGGCUGUCGUCAGCUCGUGUCGUGAGAUGUUGGGUUAAGUCCCGCAACGAGCGCAACCCUUGCCAUUAGUUGCUACAUUCAGUUGGGCGCUCUAAUGGGACUGCCGGUGACAAACCGGAGGAAGGUGGGGAUGACGUCAAGUCCUCAUGGCCCUUAUAGGUGGGGCUACACACGUCAUACAAUGGCUGGUACAAAGGGUUGCCAACCCGCGAGGGGGAGCUAAUCCCAUAAAGCCAGUCGUAGUCCGGAUCGUAGUCUGCAACUCGACUACGUGAAGUCGGAAUCGCUAGUAAUCGUGGAUCAGAAUGUCACGGUGAAUACGUUCCCGGGUCUU